UGGAUUCGAAGAAAACACGACGAAGAUCUCGAAUCCCUAGCUCUCCCCUUGCUCUAGCUCCUCAAGCUCUCUCUUCUCCUCUCAAGAACACAAGAACCAUGAGAAAUGAAUUUCUCUCUCUCUUCCUUGCCCUUAAUGGGCGCCCCCUCACACACACUCAAGGCCCAUUGGGCCUCAAGCCCAAUUGGCUUGGCCCAAU
Molecule: long non-coding RNA, 199 nt
Filed under: Trifolium pratense (red clover)
Lineage: Eukaryota; Viridiplantae; Streptophyta; Magnoliopsida; Fabales; Fabaceae
Description: long non-coding RNA (TPRA_LNC005764)
Source: RNAcentral